CCCUGUGUAAUCUCGAAUUGGCAAAUACCCCCUGUCAAAAAAAAACUCACCAACGCCUCCCUAUGUAAUCAAAGUCAAUGCAUCUAAACCCCUUAAGGCAAUUCGUGUCUCUCACUCGCGGGCUGUGCGAAUUUUUAUGUUAUUUCUAGGGUGAAAUUUCAUAAAUACCCCUGUAUAAACAAAAAAAAAAAUCUGUCAGAUUAAAUUAUAAAUAACUAUAAUUUAUAGGGCCAAAUUGUGAAUUUUAAAAAUUUCAAAAUUGCAAAAUAAGGAACAGCUCCUCUUCCCCGUUUCAUUUCCGCCGCCCACCUCCCAACCAGGAAAAGUCCGGCAUCGCCGCCGCCUUCUGGCCCACCUAGCACCACCGCCGCCUUCUGGUCCAUCUAGCACCACCGCCGCCUUCUGGCCCGUCUCGCACCACCGCCACCCACCUACUCCUUCAAAUUGCUCUCCCUCGUCACCGCCGCCGUCUGACACCACCCAUUUCUUAGUGAGAAAUAUAGGAGAGAGUUGUGUAUGGGUGAACCGGUGGUGGUGCAAGAAGGGUGAGCCGGUGGUGGGGCAGCGGCGUGGAAAGAAAAAAUGUUGAGUUGGGUGGUUGGUGGGGUG
This 609-nucleotide long non-coding RNA is filed under the name Erythranthe guttata (spotted monkey flower). RNAcentral describes it as "long non-coding RNA (EGUT_LNC001579)". Lineage: Eukaryota; Viridiplantae; Streptophyta; Magnoliopsida; Lamiales; Phrymaceae. The record is from RNAcentral.